GAUGAACGCUAGCGGCAGGCUUAAUACAUGCAAGUCGAGGGGCAGCACGGUAGCAAUACUGGUGGCGACCGGCGCACGGGUGCGUAACGCGUAUGCAACUUACCCUUUACAGGGGGAUAGCCCGGAGAAAUUCGGAUUAAUACCCCAUAGAAUAUUUAGGAGGCAUCUUUUAGAUAUUAAAGAUUUAUUGGUAAAGGAUGGGCAUGCGUGCCAUUAGCUAGUUGGUGAGGUAACGGCUCACCAAGGCGACGAUGGCUAGGGGUUCUGAGAGGAUAUACCCCCACACUGGUACUGAGACACGGACCAGACUCCUACGGGAGGCAGCAGUAAGGAAUAUUGGACAAUGGUGGAGACACUGAUCCAGCCAUGCCGCGUGCAGGAUGACGGUCCUAUGGAUUGUAAACUGCUUUUGUAUGGGAAUAAACCCCGGUACGUGUACCGGGUUGAAUGUACCAUAAGAAUAAGGAUCGGCUAACUCCGUGCCAGCAGCCGCGGUAAUACGGAGGAUCCAAGCGUUAUCCGGAUUUAUUGGGUUUAAAGGGUGCGUAGGCGGGACGAUAAGUCAGUGGUGAAAUCCCAUAGCUUAACUAUGGAAUUGCCAUUGAUACUGUCGACCUUGAGUACAAACGAUGUGGGCGGAAUGUGUAGUGUAGCGGUGAAAUGCUUAGAUAUUACACAGAACACCGAUAGCGAAGGCAGCUCACAAGAAUGUAACUGACGCUGAUGCACGAAAGUGUGGGGAUCAAACAGGAUUAGAUACCCUGGUAGUCCACACCGUAAACGUUGAUAACUCGAUGUGUGCGAUACACAGUACGCGUCUAAGGGAAACCGAUAAGUUAUCCACCUGGGGAGUACGUUCGCAAGGAUGAAACUCAAAGGAAUUGACGGGGGCCCGCACAAGCGGAGGAGCAUGUGGUUUAAUUCGAUGAUACGCGAGGAACCUUACCUGGGCUUGAAAGUUAGCGACUGAGUCUGAAAGGAUUCAUCCAGCAAUGGCGCGAAACUAGGUGCUGCAUGGCUGUCGUCAGCUCGUGCCGUGAGGUGUUGGGUUAAGUCCCGCAACGAGCGCAACCCCUACUUCUAGUUGCCAGCAUGUAAUGAUGGGGACUCUAGAGGAACUGCCCGCGCAAGCGGUGAGGAAGGUGGGGAUGACGUCAAGUCAGCACGGCCCUUACGUCCAGGGCUACACACGUGCUACAAUGGAUACUACAAAGGGCAGCUACACAGUGAUGUGAUGCGAAUCUCUAAAGGUAUUCUCAGUUCGGAUUGGAGUCUGCAACUCGACUCCAUGAAGCUGGAUUCGCUAGUAAUCGUAGAUCAGCAAUGCUACGGUGAAUACGUUCCCGGGCCUUGUACACACCGCCCGUCAAACAAUGGAAGUUGGGGGUACCUAAAGUCGAUCACCGCAAGGAGUCGCCUAGGGUAAAACUGAUAACUGGUGUUAAGUCGUAACAAGGUAACC
This 1462-nucleotide ribosomal RNA is filed under the name uncultured bacterium. Its description in RNAcentral is "bacterial SSU rRNA". It matches the Rfam family "Bacterial small subunit ribosomal RNA". The record is from RNAcentral.